GUGCCAGCCGCCGCGGUAAUACGGAGGGUGCAAGCGUUGUCCGGAUUUAUUGGGUUUAAAGGGUGCGUAGGCGGCCCUGUAAGUCAGUGGUGAAAUACUGCAGCUUAACUGUAGCAUUGCCAUUGAUACUGUAGGGCUUGAGUACAGAUGAGGUAGGCGGAAUUGAUGGUGUAGCGGUGAAAUGCAUAGAUACCAUCAAGAACACCGAUUGCGAAGGCAGCUUACUAAGCUGUAACUGACGCUGAGGCACGAAAGCGUGGGGAUCGAACAGGAUUAGAUACCCGCGUAGUCC
RNAcentral lists this ribosomal RNA (292 nucleotides) under uncultured bacterium. RNAcentral describes it as "partial 16S ribosomal RNA". It matches the Rfam family "Bacterial small subunit ribosomal RNA", at positions 505 to 796 of the family's 1533-position model. The record is from RNAcentral.